This 382-nucleotide ribosomal RNA is filed under the name uncultured Bicosoecida. RNAcentral describes it as "partial small subunit ribosomal RNA". It matches the Rfam family "Eukaryotic small subunit ribosomal RNA", at positions 30 to 428 of the family's 1831-position model. The record is from RNAcentral. Lineage: Eukaryota; Bigyra; Bicosoecida.
GCUUGUCUCAAAGAUUAAGCCAUGCAUGUCUAAGUAUAACUCUUUUACUUUGAAAACUGCGAACGGCUCAUUAUAUCAGUUAUAGUUUCUUUGAUAGUCCCUUACUACUUGGAUACCCGUAGUAAUUCUAGAGCUAAUACAUGCACAAAGCGACCUUCACGGGUCGUGUAUUUAUUAGAUACAAUCAGCCCUUCGGGUCAUGAUGAAUCAUAAUAACUGAACUAAGCGCAUGCUUCGGCGGCGCUGUUUCAUUCAAGUUUCUGCCCUAUCAGCUUUCGAUGGUAGGGUAUUGGCCUACCAUGGCGUUAACGGGUAACGGAGAAUUAGGGUUCGAUUCCGGAGAGGGAGCCUGAGAGAUGGCUACCACAUCCAAGGAAGGCAG